UGGGGAAUAUUGCACAAUGGGGGAAACCCUGAUGCAGCGACGCCGCGUGAACGAAGAAGGUAUUCGUAUCGUAAAGUUCUGUCCUAUGGGAAGAUAAUGACAGUACCAUAGAAGAAAGCUCCGGCUAAAUACGUGCCAGCAGCCGCGGUAAUACGUAUGGAGCGAGCGUUGUCCGGAAUUAUUGGGCGUAAAGGGUACGCAGGCGGUUUAAUAAGUCGAAUGUUAAAGAUCGGGGCUCAACCCCGUAAAGCAUUGGAAACUGAUAAACUUGAGUAGUGGAGAGGAAAGUGGAAUUCCUAGUGUAGUGGUGAAAUACGUAGAUAUUAGGAGGAAUACCAGUAGCGAAGGCGACUUUCUGGCCAUAAUCUGACGCUGAGGUACGAAAGCGUGGGUAGCAAACAGG
Molecule: ribosomal RNA, 403 nt
Filed under: Bacteroidota bacterium
Lineage: Bacteria; Pseudomonadati; Bacteroidota
Description: Bacteroidetes bacterium partial 16S ribosomal RNA
Rfam family: Bacterial small subunit ribosomal RNA
Source: RNAcentral